This 165-nucleotide microRNA precursor is filed under the name Oryza brachyantha (malo sina). Its description in RNAcentral is "MIR812 microRNA precursor family". It matches the Rfam family "MIR812 microRNA precursor family", at positions 27 to 189 of the family's 205-position model. Lineage: Eukaryota; Viridiplantae; Streptophyta; Magnoliopsida; Poales; Poaceae. The record is from Rfam by way of RNAcentral.
UACAAUGUUUUGACUCUUCGUCUUAUUUAAAUUUUUUUACCAUUAAUAUUUUUAUUGUUACUAGAUGAUAAAAUAUAAAUAGUACUUUAUGCGUGACUAAUUUUUUGAAGUUUUUUACAAUUUUUUUAAAUAAGACGAAUGACCAAAGCAUUGGACACAAAAAUC